RNAcentral lists this ribosomal RNA (367 nucleotides) under uncultured bacterium. Its description in RNAcentral is "bacterial SSU rRNA". It matches the Rfam family "Bacterial small subunit ribosomal RNA", at positions 772 to 1150 of the family's 1533-position model. The record is from RNAcentral.
ACGCAAUAGAUACCCGGUAGUCCACGCCGUAAACGAUGGACGCUCGGCCGCGUGGACGCUAUCAAACGCGUCUGGGGGCCUUAAGCUGACGCGGCAAGCGUCCCGCCUGGGAACUACGAGCGCAAGCUUAAAACUCAAAGGAAUUGACGGGGGCCCGGCACAAGCAGCGGAGCGUGUGGUUUAAUUCGACGCAACACGCAACACCUUACCCAGGUUGGACAUGCAGCUGCAAGCCGGUCAAAGCCGGUCGCCUUCGAGGGUGCUGCACAGAUGCUGCAUGGCUGUCGUCAGCUCGUGUCGUGAGAUGUUGGGUUAAGUCCCGCAACGAGCGCAACCCUACGGUCAGUUACUUGUGUCUGGCCGGACC